UAGGGAAUCUUCCACAAUGGGCGCAAGCCUGAUGGAGCAACGCCGCGUGAGUGAAGAAGGGUUUCGGCUCGUAAAGCUCUGUUGUUAAAGAAGAACGUGGGUAAGAGUAACUGUUUACCCAGUGACGGUAUUUAACCAGAAAGCCACGGCUAACUACGUGCCAG
Molecule: ribosomal RNA, 164 nt
Filed under: uncultured bacterium
Lineage: Bacteria
Description: partial 16S ribosomal RNA
Rfam family: Bacterial small subunit ribosomal RNA
Source: RNAcentral